GCACCAUUAGCUCAUCAGGAUAGAGCAAUUGCCUUCUAAGCAAUCGGUAACUGGUUCGAAUCCUGUCGCG
This 70-nucleotide transfer RNA is filed under the name Klebsiella phage vB_Kpn_ZCKp20p. RNAcentral describes it as "tRNA-Arg". The stretch from base 8 to 66 matches the Rfam family "tRNA", at positions 8 to 63 of the family's 71-position model. Rfam says of the family: Transfer RNA (tRNA) molecules are approximately 80 nucleotides in length. Their secondary structure includes four short double-helical elements and three loops (D, anti-codon, and T loops). The record is from RNAcentral. Lineage: Duplodnaviria; Heunggongvirae; Uroviricota; Caudoviricetes.